GAUGAACGCUGGCGGCGUGCCUAAUACAUGCAAGUCGAGCGAACGGACGAGAAGCUUGCUUCUCUGAUGUUAGCGGCGGACGGGUGAGUAACACGUGGAUAACCUACCUAUAAGACUGGGAUAACUUCGGGAAACCGGAGCUAAUACCGGAUAAUAUUUUGAACCGCAUGGUUCAAUAGUGAAAGACGGUCUUGCUGUCACUUAUAGAUGGAUCCGCGCUGCAUUAGCUAGUUGGUAAGGUAACGGCUUACCAAGGCAACGAUGCGUAGCCGACCUGAGAGGGGGAUCGGACACACUGGAACUGAGACAGGGUCAAGACGCCUACGGGAGGCAGCAGUAGGGAAUCUUCCGCAAUGGGCGAAAGCCUGACGGAGCAAAGCCGCGUGAGUGAUGAAGGUAUUCGGAUCGUAAAACUCUGUUAUGAGGGAAGAACAAAUGUGUAAGUAACUAUGCACGUCUUGACGGUACCUAAUCAGAAAGCAACGGCUAACUACGUG
RNAcentral lists this ribosomal RNA (497 nucleotides) under uncultured bacterium. Its description in RNAcentral is "partial 16S ribosomal RNA". It matches the Rfam family "Bacterial small subunit ribosomal RNA", at positions 28 to 507 of the family's 1533-position model. The record is from RNAcentral.